Molecule: ribosomal RNA, 253 nt
Filed under: uncultured bacterium
Lineage: Bacteria
Description: partial 16S ribosomal RNA
Rfam family: Bacterial small subunit ribosomal RNA
Source: RNAcentral
UACGGAGGGUGCGAGCGUUAUCCGGAAUUACUGGGUUUAAAGGGUGCGUAGGCGGCUAUGUAAGUCAGGAGUGAAAGUUUGCGGCUCAACCGUAAAAUUGCUUUUGAUACUGCAUGGCUAGAAUUAGGAUGAGGUCAGCGGAAUGUGGCAUGUAGCGGUGAAAUGCAUAGAUAUGUGGAGGAACACCGAUGGCGAAGGCAGCCCCCUGGGUCAACACUGACGCUCAUGCACGAAAGCGUGGGGAGCAAACAGG